AGGAUGAACGCUGGCGGCGUGCCUAAUACAUGCAAGUCGAGCGGUAAGGCCCUUCGGGGUACACGAGCGGCGAACGGCUGAGUAACGCGUGGGAAUCCACCCCAAAGUGAGGGAUAAGCACCGGAAACGGUGUCUAAUACCGCAUAUGGUCUUCGGAUUAAAGUUUUAUACGCUUUGGGAGGAGCCCGCGUCCGAUUAGGUUGUUGGUGAGGUAAUGGCUCACCAAGCCGACGAUCGGUAGCUGGUCUGAGAGGAUGAUCAGCCAGACUGGAACUGAGACACGGUCCAGACUCCUACGGGAGGCAGCAGUAAGGAAUCUUCCACAAUGGGCGAAAGCCUGAUGGAGCAACGCCGCGUGCAGGAUGAAGGCCUUCGGGUCGUAAACUGCUUUUGUUAGCGAAGAAUUUGACGGUAACUAACGAAUAGGAUCGGCUAACUCCGUGCCAGCAGCCGC
RNAcentral lists this ribosomal RNA (454 nucleotides) under uncultured bacterium. Its description in RNAcentral is "SSU rRNA". It matches the Rfam family "Bacterial small subunit ribosomal RNA", at positions 26 to 518 of the family's 1533-position model. The record is from RNAcentral.